UACAGAGGUCCCAAGCGUUGUUCGGAUUCACUGGGCGUAAAGGGUGCGUAGGUGGUCGUAUAAGUUUGAUGUGAAAUCUCCGGGCUUAACCCGGAAACUGCAUUGAAUACUAUUCGGCUGGAGGGUUGGAGGGGGGACUGGAAUACUUGGUGUAGCAGUGAAAUGCGUAGAUAUCAAGUGGAACACCAGUGGCGAAGGCGAGUCCCUGGACAACUCCUGACACUGAGGCACGAAAGCUAGGGGAGCAAACAGG
Molecule: ribosomal RNA, 253 nt
Filed under: uncultured bacterium
Lineage: Bacteria
Description: partial 16S ribosomal RNA
Rfam family: Bacterial small subunit ribosomal RNA
Source: RNAcentral